RNAcentral lists this ribosomal RNA (329 nucleotides) under uncultured eukaryote. RNAcentral describes it as "partial 18S ribosomal RNA". It matches the Rfam family "Eukaryotic small subunit ribosomal RNA", at positions 1470 to 1796 of the family's 1831-position model. The record is from RNAcentral.
CCCUUAGAUGUUCUGGGCCGCACACGCGCUACACUGAUGCAUUCAACGAGUCUAAAACCUGCUCUGAUAGGGGUGGGUAAUCUUUUGAAUGUGCAUCGUGAUUGGGAUAGAUGAUUGCAAUUUUUCAUCUUCAACGAGGAAUGCCUAGUAAACGCAAGUCAUCAGCUUGCAUUGAUUACGUCCCUGCCCUUUGUACACACCGCCCGUCGCUCCUACCGAUUGAAUGAUCCGAUGAAUAUCAUGGAUUGAGGAUGUAAGCAGGUUCGCCUGUCUUCAUCUUCGAGAAGUGAAGUAAAUCUUAUCAUUUAGAGGAAGGAGAAGUCGUAACA